Molecule: RNA transcript, 3254 nt
Organism: Molossus molossus (Pallas's mastiff bat)
Lineage: Eukaryota; Metazoa; Chordata; Mammalia; Chiroptera; Molossidae
Gene: CENPC
Gene name: centromere protein C
Exons: 20
Source: RefSeq, a predicted model, not a curated record
CUUUAUUUUUAGGAUCAUCUCAAAAAUGGCUACAGAAGAAGAUUUUGUCAACCUCCCAGGGCACCUGACAUUAAUAUGAGGCAAAACAAGAAUAUACUGGUAAUCUUACAAGACUGCUUUGAAGAAAAAAGCCUUGUCAAUGACUUUAGCACAAAUUCUACAAAAUCAGUGCUUUAUUCAACACCUAAAAUAAAAGAGUCUUGUUUUCAGUCACCAAGCAGAGAGGCUCAGUGCCAGAUAUCACAUUCAAAGUCAUCUCCGGUUUCUUCAAGAAAGAAAGGAACCUCUCUGCAGUUGACUGUAGAACCAAAUGAAGAUGUCAACAAAUCAGUUCAGGUCCAUGAAGUUUAUCAGAAAAUUUUGGCAGCUGAUGUUGGUUCUAAAAAUACAGCUGAUUCAAGAAAAAUGUCAAGUACAAAAUUCAAAAAUCAUCACAAUGACGCCAAUGAAGAAUUAUACUUACCUGUUGGUUCUCCUUUUGUUCUUUUGGAUGCAAAAACAUCUGUACCACAAAAUGCUAUUUCAUCUAUUGGCCAAAAGAGAGAGACCUACACUUUUGAAGAUUCAGUCAAUAUGCUGUCUUCAAGUACAGAUAUUUCUCUUAAAACCAAAAAAAGGUUAGACUUUGAAGAUAAAAACAUUUUGAAGAAAGCAGAAAUAGAGAAUAAAAUAUCAGAUAUAGUGGAUGAAGUAUCAGAAAGACCACCAGAGAGAAAACCAUCAGAAACAUCUCAGAAAAUAAUACAAAAUUCAGAAUAUGAAAUUCAAUCACAAGCUAAAAAGAGUUUUUCAACAUUGUUUUUAGAAACUUUAAAAAGAAAAAGUGAAUCCAGUCCUGUUUUUAGGUAUAUAGCAACUGCUCCACCUCAGUCAUCUCUUGCAAAUGAUAAGAAUUUAGAGGAUGAAUUUAUAAUUGAUGAAUCAGAUAGUUUUGCUGGUCGGUCUUGGAUUACUAUACCAAGAAAGGCUGUGCCUCAGAAACAAUGCGCAGUAUCCCCUACUGAGAGUACUGUGGUCCUUCAAAGUAAGAAAUCAAGAGAAAAACAUCACAGUGUAACACCUACAACUUUGACAAAUGACAAACAUUCUGGCAAAGCUCCCCCAGUACAGAAAUCUCAGCCCUCUGAUCAAAGAAAUGUGGGUAGAAAUUGUGCUUUGACAGAUGAAAUGAAAAAUAAUUGUAGAUCUACAAAAAAUGAGAUGUAUUCUAAGAAUGCAGAAAAAUCAUCUGGAAACAAAAGGAUUAUAAAACAAAAACAGAAAAGAAAAGUUAAGCCCAGUGUAGUUGAAGAAGAGGUUGAUGUGGAACAAGCUAAAGAUAAAAAUAUAAAUGUGUCACAUAUUGCCCAAGACAAGUCACAGAGAAAUUCAGACAGAAGUGUGGAAGUGUGUGAAGAGAAGAGAAAAGUUCAUAUUUCUAAAAAACAGAUACCACCUGUGGGAAGUAAGAAAAGUAGCACCAAUGUUACUCAUACAGCAAAGCAGAGAAAAAAUAGGGAAUAUGAAAAGAAGGAUUUUUCAAAUGAAUCCAAGAAAAACAAUCUUGUACCUGAAGAAGUGUCUUUGACUGUCACGAGAAGUCAAAGAAUUUCCAGACGUCCGUCUAAUUGGUGGAUGGUAAAAUCAGAGCAGAGUCUUUUUUAUAGCAGUUCUUCAAUAAGAAAUGAAUUGUCAGUGCCUCACAGCAGUGGGCGAAAACCUGCUGAAAAAACAAAUCAAUCAUCUAAGAAUACUGGAAAAAAAAGUAUUCCAUUUAAAGGGCAGAAGAGAGCUAAUCCAGGCCGCUCCAGAGCACAGAAGAUUUUAAAUGUAAAAGAUUCUAGAGGAAUUACUGACCAUGAUGAAAUUUCUGGUUCUUCCCCGAAUGAGUCUUUGGAAUGUGAGGAGGCAGACAUGGCUAAGAAGAAUAAUCUUGAUCAUUCUGGAGUUACAGGAAGUCCCAAAGCUGAAGAUAGUAUUAUGACUGCAGACAAUGUUCAUCCAAAGCCUCAGAACAGUGAACAUUCAUGUAAGACACCUGCAGAGUCUGACUCUGAUUCUGGAGAGCCUAAAACUUUAGAUUUGGAAGGAAGUGGACCUUUUAGGCUCAAGAAUUAUUUAAUGUCUGGAAAGAAUAAUUCAGAUGCAGAUGAUGAGGAAGUUCAGGAAAUUUCAGGUGACUCAAGAGUAAAAAGAUCUAAAGUAACACAAGAGAACAAAGUACAUCACAAAUUAGUAUUGCCCUCCAACACACCAAAUGUGCGCAGGACCAAGAGAACACGAUUAAAACCUUUGGAAUACUGGCGGGGGGAGCGAGUAGAUUAUCAAGAAAGGAAAUCAGGAGGAUUUGUGAUUGGAGGAAUACUGUCCCCAGAAACAGUAUCAUCUAAAAGGAAGGCAAAAAGAGAAAAGAAAAAAGUCAACCAAAUAGUUAAUAGGAAAAGGAUCUGUCUGGAUAACAAUGAAAGAAAAAAAGAAUUAGUCAUAAAUCUGAAUAUACCUCUGGGAGAUCCUUUGCAGCCAACAAGCGUAAAGGAUCCGGAAACAAGAAAGAUUAUUCUCCUGGAUCUUUUAAGGCCACGAAAUACAUAUAAAUUUUCAGUUGAAAAUGAUGAGUUGAAAGUAUAUAAAACAUUGGAUACACCCCUUUUUUCUACUGGAAAAUUGAUAUUAGGGCCACAUCAAGAGAAAGGAAGGCAGCAUGUUGGCCUGGAUACAUUGGUUUUUUAUGUUAACUUUGGUGACCUUUUAUGUACCUUACACGAAACACCUUAUGUAAUAACAACUGGGGAUUCAUUCUAUGUUCCUUCAGAAAGGAAGCAAGAUGAAGUGCUAUAUUAUCAACUGAAAAUAGAAACUUUAGAGCAAAGCCAAAUACUCGGGGCCACCAAGAACUGACAACUUAUACAUCUGCAAAUAUCUUUCUGGCAUGGAUAGUCUGUAGAGCAUUGGCUGACAAUCCAGACAGGAUAUCCCAGGCCUGUUCUUUAGACAGUGGCAAAAGGAAAAAAGCAAGCAAGCCAUAACAUUCAAGAUUUCCAAAACCCCUAGACUUGUUCUAUCAGCCAAAGCAAGUCACCAAAAGGAAGUCCAGAUUUACGGCGGAAAAAGAUUCCCUCUAUUUCUUUGGUAAGAGGAACUGCAAAGUCACAUGGCAAAGAGAUGAAAGAACACCACACUGCAGAGGAAACUCACACUGGGAGAAAAGAAAUAGAAUGAAAAAGAUCACAGUGAAUUGGCAUACAACCAUACUGAAAACGACAGAAACAAUUCAG